This 792-nucleotide ribosomal RNA is filed under the name uncultured alveolate. Its description in RNAcentral is "bacterial SSU rRNA". It matches the Rfam family "Eukaryotic small subunit ribosomal RNA", at positions 64 to 994 of the family's 1831-position model. The record is from RNAcentral.
UACAAACUAAAUGAUGGUGAAACUGCAAAUGGCUCAUUACAACGGUUAUGAUGUACCCGGGAGUUCCGAUGGAUAUUUCCAGUAACACUAGAACUAAUACAUGCUCCUGCGUUUAUUAGUUUCGCACAGUCCGUCGCUGAGUCAUGGUAAACAGUUGAUCGACUCGACGUCCCGGAACAGUUUCCGCCCCAUCAGCUUCGAUGGUUGGGUAUUGGCCUACCAUUGCAACAAUGGGUAACGAGGAAUUAGGGUUUGAUUUCGGAGAGGGAGCCUGAGAAACGGCUACCACAUCUACGGAUGGCAGCAGGCGCGCAAAUUACCCAAUGCAGACUCUGUGAGGUAGUGACGAGAAAUAAUAAAGCGGGACUUCUGUUUCGCUAUUAUAAUGAGGAAUAACCAAAGGUCAUUCCGAUUAGCAACUGAUGGGAAAGUCUGGUGCCAGCAGCCGCGGUAAUACCAGCGUCAGUAGCAUAUAUUAAAAUUGUUGCAGUUAAAACGUCCGUAGUCUGUACGUCGUCCCAAACUCACUGCAGUCUUCCGUUUUCUUCAUUGAAUGCGGUAGUUUCUGCAGUCACUCCCUUGAUCAAAUUAGGUUGUUCAAGGUAGACCAAGUCUUCAUAUUUUCACAUGGAAUUGGGUGAGGGAACUUAAGAGUUUAAGUUUCUCGUCUUAGGAUCAUCCGGGGUCAUUCGUACUCGUCCGCGAGAGGUGAAAUUCUUGGACCGGACGAAGACGACCAGCAGCGAAAGCAUCUGUCAGGGAUGUUUUCUGCGACAAAGGACGAAGGUCAGG